Molecule: unclassified non-coding RNA, 305 nt
Filed under: Hevea brasiliensis (rubber tree)
Lineage: Eukaryota; Viridiplantae; Streptophyta; Magnoliopsida; Malpighiales; Euphorbiaceae
Source: RNAcentral
AACUACAGAUCAAGAUGGCUCAGGUAUCUUUCAAAUACAUAUAUAUGGUUCUGCUGUUGAUGCUUGUCUGUUCCCAUUUAGCCCCUGACUUCCUGUUGGAACAGAGGUUCCUAUUGUUUAUGGAUUUAUGUUCAUGGCAGAUGAUGCUGUGUUGCAAAGCACCUGUGGGUGCAUUUGCAUCUUUAACUGAUACGUACUUUGGCAUUUGGUGAGGUUAAAUAUAAAUUGAGUUAUUUAUUAACCCAUCAAUUGUUUUCAUUCUAAGUAUGCUCUUCCUUUAUAGGGGGCUAAGCCUGGGGAAGGUG